This 100-nucleotide ribosomal RNA is filed under the name Prolemur simus (greater bamboo lemur). The record is from RNAcentral. Lineage: Eukaryota; Metazoa; Chordata; Mammalia; Primates; Lemuridae.
AGGCAUGGCCACGCUACCCUGGAUGUGCCUGAUCUCCUCUGAUCCCAAAGCUAAGCAGGGUCAGGCCUGGUCAGUGCGUGGAUGGGAGGUGCUCUGUACC